RNAcentral lists this long non-coding RNA (260 nucleotides) under Elaeis guineensis (African oil palm). RNAcentral describes it as "long non-coding RNA (EGUI_LNC042245)". Lineage: Eukaryota; Viridiplantae; Streptophyta; Magnoliopsida; Arecales; Arecaceae. The record is from RNAcentral.
GAGAGGAGGAAGAAGACUCCCUUCGGGAGUUCUUCUCCUCUAUUUUUUUUUUUUUGGGCUUUGGUGGGCUGGGAUUCUUACUCAGGCCAGGCCAUCACAUUCUUCCCCUCUAAAAAAAAUUUCAUCCUCAAAAGUUUUCUUGCUUGAGUCUUCAUAGUUUCUUACUUGAAUCUCAUCCAUAAAUAUUUUAAUAGUCUAAUUCUUGAUAUAAAAUUCAUUCUUAAAUCAUUUUAUAAGGAAAAAGUCAAUACAUCAAAUAU